Molecule: ribosomal RNA, 765 nt
Filed under: uncultured Streptococcus sp.
Lineage: Bacteria; Bacillati; Bacillota; Bacilli; Lactobacillales; Streptococcaceae
Description: bacterial SSU rRNA
Rfam family: Bacterial small subunit ribosomal RNA
Source: RNAcentral
GACGAACGCUGGCGGCGUGCCUAAUACAUGCAAGUAGAACGCUGAAGAGAGGAGCUUGCUCUUCUUGGAUGAGUUGCGAACGGGUGAGUAACGCGUAGGUAACCUGCCUUGUAGCGGGGGAUAACUAUUGGAAACGAUAGCUAAUACCGCAUAACAAUGGAUGACACAUGUCAUUUAUUUGAAAGGGGCAAUUGCUCCACUACAAGAUGGACCUGCGUUGUAUUAGCUAGUAGGUGAGGUAACGGCUCACCUAGGCGACGAUACAUAGCCGACCUGAGAGGGUGAUCGGCCACACUGGGACUGAGACACGGCCCAGACUCCUACGGGAGGCAGCAGUAGGGAAUCUUCGGCAAUGGGGGCAACCCUGACCGAGCAACGCCGCGUGAGUGAAGAAGGUUUUCGGAUCGUAAAGCUCUGUUGUAAGUCAAGAACGAGUGUGAGAGUGGAAAGUUCACACUGUGACGGUAGCUUACCAGAAAGGGACGGCUAACUACGUGCCAGCAGCCGCGGUAAUACGUAGGUCCCGAGCGUUGUCCGGAUUUAUUGGGCGUAAAGCGAGCGCAGGCGGUUUGAUAAGUCUGAAGUUAAAGGCUGUGGCUCAACCAUAGUUCGCUUUGGAAACUGUCAAACUUGAGUGCAGAAGGGGAGAGUGGAAUUCCAUGUGUAGCGGUGAAAUGCGUAGAUAUAUGGAGGAACACCGGUGGCGAAAGCGGCUCUCUGGUCUGUAACUGACGCUGAGGCUCGAAAGCGUGGGGAGCAAACAGG